Molecule: transfer RNA, 76 nt
Filed under: Vibrio sp. DW001
Lineage: Bacteria; Pseudomonadati; Pseudomonadota; Gammaproteobacteria; Vibrionales; Vibrionaceae
Description: tRNA-Trp
Source: RNAcentral
GGGUGGGACCAAAAAUAGGACAAAAUUUUGCGGAUUCCAAAUCCGCGUGUUGGGAGUUCGAAUCUCUCCACCCCUG